Long non-coding RNA from Carcharodon carcharias (great white shark), 573 nucleotides. RefSeq lists it as uncharacterized. The transcript is spliced from 6 exons. NCBI's taxonomy places the organism in Eukaryota, Metazoa, Chordata, Chondrichthyes, Lamniformes, Lamnidae. The record is from RefSeq and is a predicted model, not a curated record.
CCAGCAGUUUGCAGCUUCUAAGACGUGGCAUUGCUCAAUCCCAGACUAACUCAGCAGUUUCCACAGAUAGCAUACCAUCUAAAACCACUUGGACAAUGGAAACUCCGUUUGAAGUUGAUUCCAACAUACAAUAUCCCAAUGAUGGAGCUACAGCAUGGAGGAUGUCAAGAAGAGUUAUAUUGUGAUGCAGAUAUAGUCACCUUUUAAAAGGAAACCUCUGACACGGUGGACAUCAUCCUAUAAGCUAAGAGUGAGGCUGAUUUGUGAUUCUCAAACAUCAAGUGGUGGUUUGGAAGAUGUAUUUUGCAACAUCGCUGGAAACCUAAAGCACAGUGGACAUCAUCCUAAAGGCAAAGAGUGAUGUUGAUUUGUGGUUCCUAACACUGUGGUUUUAGAAGCACAGUGGACAUCAUUUUAUAUGGGCAAAGAGUGAUUUCUGAACACUUGUGUGGUUUUAAAAGAUGAUGACACCCCGCAAGACAAAAGUGAAUUGGACUUGCAACCCCAACACUAUCAGCCCUGUGUGGUUGUAGAAGAUACUUUAUACAGUAAAUAAACAUGUCCUGGAAACAA